RNAcentral lists this long non-coding RNA (7915 nucleotides) under Manihot esculenta (cassava). RNAcentral describes it as "long non-coding RNA (MESC_LNC011907)". Lineage: Eukaryota; Viridiplantae; Streptophyta; Magnoliopsida; Malpighiales; Euphorbiaceae. The record is from RNAcentral.
AUGCUUUCAUGAAAUGCGUCAUAACACAAACAUUCCACAACAAGGAUGAACUUGUCACCAUUUAGCCCCUAUACUACUUGCUUACUUAUGUCGGGGGCGUAGAGCAACAGCAGGCACACCCGGACUUCCAUGGGCUGUCAUAGUGCCAGGGGCGUAGAGCAACAGCAGGCACACCUAGACUUACAUGGGAUAUCAUGACAUAUGGGGGCUAAUGGAUCACUCAACAUUCAUCCACAACAACAACGUAGUAUGCAAUGCAACAUAUUCGUGAAUUCUAAUGCAAACAACCUAAUAUAUCUCAUGGCAUUCAUGAUGUGUGAGUCAUGCUAAAACUUUCAUUAAUUUGCCUUAAAACUUAAAGAGUUAUUCCACUCACCUAUGGCUAGCUCUGAAAAGACUCUGAAGCAGCUAACUCACUGCUGGGGGUCUCGGUUCCUCGGGUCCGAACCUACACAGGUGGACUCAAAUGAGGGACCAACAUACAUGAACAUGACUCUAAAAUACUCCCCAAAAACCCCCCUAAAACACCUCAAAAGGAUCAUAGAAAACAUGCAAGAAAUGGCUGAAUAGGGCACUUUCGACGGCAGGUUCGGCGGCCGAAAGUCCCUCCAGAGCCGAAAGUCAGGCAGGUUCGGCAGCACCUUCGGCGGCCGAAACUCCCAGACAGAGACGAAACUCAUGCAUGUUCGGCGGCACUUUCGGUGGCUGAAACUGCCCUCCAGAGAUGAAAGUCCUCUUUCGAGGGCAGGCUUCGGCAGCCGAAACUGCCUCCACAAGGGGUUCGGCGGCCGAAAGUCCCUUCGGCGGCCGAACCUGGUUUCUGCCAAAGGGCAGAAACUCGGCUCCAACAUGCAUUUCCAAACCUCAACUCAAUCAAACAUGCAUAAACCUAUUCUACAACACUCCCAAGCAAGCAUACAAGCAAAUAGGGGUCUCAAACUAUCUUAAACCCCAGCCACAUUGCAUUAAACACAUACAAAUCAAUAUACAUUGCUCAAACAUUCAAAAUGACCAAAAACUCAACAUGCCUCCUACAUGCAUUUCUACCCAUAAACUUGCAUAAAACUUACUUUAACAUAAAUGAGCUAAAGAUCAACUCCUACCUCUUGAAGAUCGAGAGAGAGACGACCAAAACUUGGAGAUUGGAGAGAUCUAACUCUUGAGUCUCCAAAGCUUGCUCAAAGCUCACAACACUUCAAAAACAAGUUGAAACUCGUUAAAACUUGAAAGAUCUGAGGAAGAAUCAUCAGAAAUAAGCCAUGGAAGAGUAGGAACUCACCGUGGCCGAAAAUGGGGAGAAAACUCGCCCGUUUCGGCCAUGGCAUCCAUUUAUAGGGGCUGGCCAAACCACCUUCGGAGGCCGAACGUGCCUCCAAAACUCAUGCAAGUUCGGCGGCCAAACAUGGAGUUUCGGCGGCCGAACCUGAGCCAACUUUCGGAAGCCUAACUAGCCUCCCAAACUAUCCAACGUUCGGCGGCCGAACUUGGGGAUUCGACGGCCGAACCUGGGAAUAGUUCCAUGGUGUUUUUCCUUCAAAACUCAAUUUAAAUCUUACUUAAAACCAUGAAAUACAUUAAAACAUUUUAGAAAAACAUGAUUUUACCCUUCUAGGGGCCUCCGACAUCCGAGAUCCCACCGGACGGUAGGAAUUCCGAUACCGGAGUCUAGCCGGGUAUUACAUUCUCCCCCCCUUAAGAACAUUCGUCCCCGAAUGUUCCUCAACUAACACACAUAGCAUGACAUCCAUCAACAUACACAUAAGCAUACAACAUACAUACAUACUAAGCACAUAAGACAAACUAACACUCACCUCAGAACAGAUGGGGAUAUUGCUGGAGCAUGGACUCCCGUGUCUCCCAAGUGUAUUCUUCGAUAUUGUGGUGGUUCCAAAGGACUUUCACCAUCGGGAUUUCCUUGUUCCUCAGCUUUCUGAUCUGAGUGUCUAGGAUCCGUACUGGCUGCUCUACAUAUGUGAGAUCCUCUAGGAUCUCCACAUCAGGCUCACUAAGAACCUUUCUCGGAUCUGACACGAAUCUCCGUAACAUGGAAACAUGGAAAACUGGAUGGAUUCUCUCCAUUGAAGCAGGCAAGUCUAGCUUUUACGACACAUUCCCGACCUUCUGAAGGACUUCAAAAGGACCAAUGUACCGUGGAGCUAACUUACCCUUCUUCCCGAACCGAACCACUCCUUUCAUAGGAGACACCUUGAGCAAAACCAAAUCCCCCUCCUGAAACUCUAGCUGUCUUCUGCAGAUAUCUGCAUAACUCUUCUGCCGGCUAGUAGCAGUCUUAAUCCUUUCUCUGAUUAUGGGCACUACCCUGCUGGUAAGCUCUACUAACUCCGGACCUGCAAGAGUCCUCUCUCUUACUUCUUCCCAGCAGAUAGGAGAUCUGCACUUCCUCCCAUACAAAGCCUCAUAUGGAGCCAUCCCUAUGCUAGCAUGAUAGCUGUUAUUGUAGGCAAACUCUACCAAGGGUAGAUGCUGCCUCCAAGAACCGCCAAAAUCUAGCACACACAUUCUGAGCAUGUCCUCUAUUGUUUGGAUGGUCCUCUCUGACUGUCCAUCAGUCUGUGGGUGGAAAGCAGUACUGAAAUCCAAUCUGGUACCCAUAGCACUCUGCAGACUCCGCCAAAACCUAGAGGUGAACUGGGGCCCUCUAUCAGACACUAUUGAAACAGGAACCCCAUGCAACUUGACAAUCUCGUCCACAUACACAUGCGCCAGCUUAUCCACAGAAUAGCCACUCCUGACAGGGAUGAAGUGAGCAUAUUUGGUGAGUCUGUCCACAAUCACCCAUAUGGAGUCCAAUCUGUUGGACGUCGCCGGUAAUCCCACUACAAAGUCCAUAGCGAUAUUCUCCCAUUUCCACUCUGGAAUCGGUAGUGGAUUCAACAUUCCAGCCGGCUUCUGAUGCUCUAGCUUCACCCUCUGACACACAUCGUAGGCUGACACGAACAGUGCCACAUCCUUCUUCAUAGCUGGCCACCAAUACACUCUCUUCAGAUCCUGAUACAUCUUGGUGGCUCCAGGGUGAAUGCUAUACCUGGCAUUAUGGGCUUCCCCCAUAAUAUCUCCUUUCAGACUGAUGUCAUUUGGCACACAUAGUCUGUUCCCGUAGCGGAGGAUCCCCUUAUCAUCGAAUCUGAACUCAUCACUCUUGCCUGGCUGAACAGUCCUGGCAAUCUUGACCAACUCUGGGUCCUCAUGCUGUUUCUGAGCCACCUGCUCCAGAAACACGGGUGACACUCUCAUCUGGGCUACUAAGGCACCUGUGCCAGAUAACUCCAACUGCAAUCCCUCACUCAUAAGUCUAUGGAAUUCCUUCACCACCGGCCUUCUCUCUGCUGAAAUGUGGGAUAGACUGCCAAGUGAUUUUCGGCUUAAGGCGUCUGCCACUACAUUCGCCUUACCCGGAUGGUACUGAAUCUUGCAAUCAUAGUCACUCAACAGCUCUACCCAUCUCCUCUGCCUCAAAUUCAGCUCUCUCUGACUCAGGAUGUACUGCAGGCUCUUAUGAUCUAUGAAGAUCUCGCACUUUACCUCAUAAAGGUAAUGCCUCCACAUCUUGAGUGCAAAGACGACCGCUGCCAUCUCUAGGUCAUGUGUGGGGUAAUUCAACUCAUGCUUCUUCAGCUGCCUAGAAGCAUAACCGAUCACCCUCUCAUUCUGCAUCAGCACACAACCCAGUCCCACACGGGACGUAUCACAAUAUACUGAGAAGUCAUCAUCACUGUUUGGCAGAGCCAACACCGGUGCUGAAGUCAACCUCCUCUUAAGCUCCUCAAAGCUCUCUUCACACUGGUCAGUCCAUACAAACUUCUAGUUCUUCUUAGUCAAUUUGGUCAUAGGAGCAGCAAUCUUUGAGAAGUCCUGAACGAACCUCCUGUAGUAACCUGCCAAACCCAGAAAACUCUUGAUCUCUGUCACAGUGGUGGGUCUAGGCCAGUUAGCUACAACCUCUACUUUCUUGGGGUCUACCUCAAUACCUUGUUCUGACACCACGUGCCCCAAGAAUGAAAUGCUCCUAAGCCAAAACUCACACUUGGAGAACUUGGCAUACAAGCCAUGCUCCCUUAAGGUCUCCAAAACUGUCCUCAGGUGAUGGGCAUGCUCCUCUGCAUUCCUGGAAUACACUAGGAUAUCAUCUAUAAAGACAAUAACGAAGUGAUCCAGAUACUGGCUGAAAACUCUGUUCAUGAGGUCCAUGAAUGCUGCAGGGGCGUUGGUUAACCCGAACGGCAUCACAACGAACUCAUAGUGCCCAUACCUGGUCCUGAAAGCUGUCUUCGGUACAUCCUCAUCCCUAAUCCUCAACUGAUGGUACCCCGAUCUCAGAUCUAUUUUGGAGAAACAACAGGCUCCAGCUAGCUGGUCGAAUAGAUCGUCGAUCCUAGGCAACGGGUACUUGUUAUUGGUAGUGACCUUGUUCAACUGCCUGUAGUCGAUACAAAGUCUGAGGGAUCCAUCCUUCUUCCUCACAAAAAGCACUGGAGCACCCCAAGGUGAGGUACUCGGUCGGAUGAAACCCUUGUCUACCAACUCUUGCAACUGUUCUUUCAACUCUUUCAAUUCAGCUGGUGCCAUCUUGUAGGGAGGGAUAGAGAUCGAUCGGGUUCCAAGCAUCAAUUCUAUCUCGAACUCUAUCUCCCUAGCAGGUGGUAAACCUGGCAGCUCGUCUGGGAAAACAUCUAAAAACUCUCCAACCACAGGCACUGAGACGGGCUUUCUGACAUGACUGUCAAGCUCUCUCACAUGAGCUAAAAAUCCCUGACAUCCCCUCCUAAGCAACCUACGAGCCUGAAGGGCUGAGAUCAAACCUCUAGGUGUACCCCUGUCUCCUCUGAAGACGACCUCUGACCCAUCCUGACCUCUGAAUCUGACUACCUUGUCCCUGUAGUCCAAGGUAGCACCAUGGGUAGAUAACCUGUCCAUCCCUAGAAUGACGUCAAAAUCUGUCAAAUCUAGAACCACUAGGUCGGCGGAAAGGCAUCUUCCCUCUAUAAAAACUGGACUACACUGGCAGACGGUCUCUGCCACUGACCGGUCACACUUGGGUCCACUGACCCAUAGGGGACACUCUAACCCAGAGACCAUCAAUCCUACCCUCUCCACGGCUCUCGGAGCAAUAAAUGAAUGAGAUGCACCAGGAUCCAUCAAGGCAUAAACAUCUGAACAACCAAUGAUGAGAUUACCUGACACCACGGUGUUGGAUGUGUUAGCCUCCUACUGAGUCAUAGUGAAGAUCUGUGUCGGAGUUGAUGGACCUUCACCUCUGUAUCCUGCUGAUGAAGAGGUUGACCCUCUCCCUCUGCCUCUGCCACUGGCCUGUGUCGCGGCUGGAGCUAUUGGCUGCGCCACACUACUAGAAGCUGUCUGCUGGGACGGUGCCACAAAAGCUGCUCUAGGGCAAUCCCGAGCCAAAUGCCCUGCCUGACCGCAUCUGAAACAUGUGUUUAUCCCCGCCAGACAUACUCCCCUAUGUGGCCUCCCACAUUUCAUACAUGCUGGAACAUCUGUACCUGAGCUCGAGCCACUUCCUAAUCCCAGACCUGACUUGAUCUUGUUCCAGAACUUGUUCUUGUUGGACUUCCUGUGGCCUCUAUCCCACUUCUUACUGCUAGAAGCUGCUGAACCCACAGAAGAGGGAUCUAUCUUUCCCCCACCUGGAGUCUUGGAACCAGAAGGCUGUGCCACUGACUGUCUGACCUUUCCCUCAAUAAUUGCACUAGCCUCCAUUCUUCGAGCCAUAUCCACUAUGGUGUGGAAACUCUCCCUCUCUGCUGACUGUAUCAAAGAGGAAUACGUGGAGUGAAGCCUCAUGAUGUACCUUCUAGAUUCUUCUGCUCUGUGUCCAAGUUCUGCCCCAGAGUAUGGCAAUAACUCCAGGAAUCUGUCAGUGUACUCAUCCACAGUCAUCUCAUCAGUCUGCCUCAACUGCUCAAAUUCUAUCAUCUUCUGUUCUCUGGAGCUUUCAGGGAAAGCCCAACUUGCAAACUCAUUUGCAAAUUCCUCCCAGGACAUACUGUCCACCCUCGGGUUCACAUAGUUCUUGUACCAGUCACGGGCCUUCUUGCACUUUAAUGUAAACCCAGCCAUCUGAAUGGCUCUGCUGUCAUCAGCCCCUAUCUCAUCUAUGAUCAUCUUGACCCUCCCAAGAUACUCAAAAGGGUCAUCUCCCGUGUCAUACUGAGGAGCACCCAACUUCAUAUAAUUAGUCAUCUUGGCCUUGCCCCCUCCAGAUGAGGUAGGUUUGGGUACUUGAGUUUCUGGGACAGUAGGUUCUGGUGGUGGUGGAGGAGGUGCAACAUCCCCCGGGGUAGGGUUUGCUAUACCUGGAUAGUAUGGUGGAGGUGGGUACAUAGGGUACUGAGAGUAUGGUGGGUAGUAAGGUGGGUAUGGCAUGUGUGAAGGGUAAGGGCUAAAGCUGGGGUAAUUCGAUGUACCUCCCAUCGAAUACCCUGGAUGGUGUGAAUAAGGUGGGUAAUGGGGGGGCUGAACAAACCCCGAGGCCUGAGUGCCUCCUUCUGACUCUCCCAUGCCCUCUUCUAGCAUGCUCACACCAAGACUGCCAUCCCUCCUCUGCUCCACAUCCAUAUCCUCAGACAUGCCUCCCUGAACUGUUCCCCUCACUGAUCUGCUUCUACCCAGAUCCAAAGACCUUCUAGGGUCUCUCACUGCUCUGUCCCUGCUGGACCUACUAGACAUUGCCCUAGGCAAUGCUGGAGGACGGGCAUCAGUGCCUUCGUCCUGAGGUGGCACUCCAGUCAAUCGUGCAGAUCGAUGAGUUCCUCUCAUCCUUAACUUCUGAAAAAGCAACACACAACACAUAAAAUCAUUAGCAUCAUGCGGUUCAUGUGGGGACACAUGAACCUGCAUCACAUACAUAGCAUACAUAUCAUAACAUUUAUGCACAUGCAUAUCAUCAUGGCAUAUCACAUCAUCAUAUAGACAGGACUCUAUAUCCUAUCCUAGUGGACAUGAUUUUCCUACUGUGCUUGACCUUCUAGAACAAUCUAUGAGCCUGACACUCUAGGUUCGACCAUAUGAACCUAGGGCUCUGAUACCACUCUGUAACGAUCCGAAAAUCUGACCCGUUACCGGCGCUAGGAUCCAGAUCGGUAUAAGGACGCCGGGACCCAUAGCAAGCCUACAUACAUCCUGAAUACCUGUGGAAUCCCAUACAUGAUUACGACAUAACAUAACCUGUAAGAUUUUUCUUUUCUUUUAUCCAAGCAUAACCUGUGCAUGCACAAAACCAUAACAUAGACCACACACUGGAGUCCUCAUCAAAUACUCCAAUGGGGUAUCAUAACAUAUAGUCAAGCUUGGAUAACCAUUAACAUUAAUAACUCAUAAAUAAAUCAUGCAUAAAAGGGAUUCUCAACAUACUAGGGUCAAGCACAUCUCUAAAACCUCAAUACAUCCAUAGUUCAUACUUUACAUUAUAUAACUAUUCAUAAGAUUCAUUACAUCAUUCUCAUGUCCACUACUAUCUAUUACAACAUAAUAGACUUCAUUCUAGCCGACCUCCUGAUCUAACCUGUACCUGCAAACCUAGGGAUUAAGGGAGUGGGGUGAGCUACUAGAGCCCAGUGAGCAGAAUAAUAUAAACAUAAUUUAAAAUCCAUGCUUUCAUGAAAUGCGUCAUAACACAAACAUUCCACAACAAGGAUGAACUUGUCACCAUUUAGCCCCUAUACUACUUGCUUACUUAUGCCGGAGGCGUAGAGCAACAGCAGGCACACCCGGACUUCCAUGGGCUGUCAUAGUGCCAGGGGCAUAGAGCAACAGCAGGCACACCUGGACUUACAUGGGAUAUCAUGACAUACGGGGGCUAAUGGAUCACUCAACAUUCAUCCACAACAACAACGUAGUAUGCAAUGCAACAUAUUCGUGAAUUCUAAUGCAAACA